RNAcentral lists this small RNA (590 nucleotides) under Trichoderma sp. TAMA 152. Its description in RNAcentral is "eukaryotic LSU rRNA". The stretch from base 227 to 380 matches the Rfam family "5.8S ribosomal RNA". The record is from RNAcentral. Lineage: Eukaryota; Fungi; Ascomycota; Sordariomycetes; Hypocreales; Hypocreaceae.
UUGGUGAACCAGCGGAGGGAUCAUUACCGAGUUUACAACUCCCAAACCCAAUGUGAACGUUACCAAACUGUUGCCUCGGCGGGAUCUCUGCCCCGGGUGCGUCGCAGCCCCGGACCAAGGCGCCCGCCGGAGGACCAACCAAAACUCUUAUUGUAUACCCCCUCGCGGGUUUUUUAUAAUCUGAGCCUUCUCGGCGCCCCUCGUGGGCGUUUCGAAAAUGAAUCAAAACUUUCAACAACGGAUCUCUUGGUUCUGGCAUCGAUGAAGAACGCAGCGAAAUGCGAUAAGUAAUGUGAAUUGCAGAAUUCAGUGAAUCAUCGAAUCUUUGAACGCACAUUGCGCCCGCCAGUAUUCUGGCGGGCAUGCCUGUCCGAGCGUCAUUUCAACCCUCGAACCCCUCCGGGGGGUCGGCGUUGGGGAUCGGCCCUCCCUCUGCGGGGGCCGUCUCCGAAAUCCAGUGGCGGUCUCGCCGCAGCCUCUCCUGCGCAGUAGUUUGCACACUCGCACCGGGAGCGCGGCGCGUCCACAGCCGUUAAACACCCAACUUUCUGAAAUGUGACCUCGGAUCAGGUAGGAGUUCCCCCGAUUGG